GGAUUGAUGAUGAGAACUCAUACUGUCUCAAAGUGACAUGAUGAUUUAAAACUCACGCUCAAUAGGAUUACACUGAGGCUC
Small nucleolar RNA from Lepus europaeus (European hare), 81 nucleotides. RefSeq annotates it as small nucleolar RNA SNORD115. The transcript has a single exon. The record is from RefSeq and is a predicted model, not a curated record. Lineage: Eukaryota; Metazoa; Chordata; Mammalia; Lagomorpha; Leporidae.